GACGAACGCUGGCGGCAUGCUUAACACAUGCAAGUCGAACGGAAAGGCCCUGCUUUUGUGGGGUGCUCGAGUGGCGAACGGGUGAGUAAUACGUGAGUAACCUGCCCUUGACUUUGGGAUAACUUCAGGAAACUGGGGCUAAUACCGGAUAGGAGCUCCUGCUGCAUGGUGGGGGUUGGAAAGUUUCGGCGGUUGGGGAUGGACUCGCGGCUUAUCAGCUUGUUGGUGGGGUAGUGGCUUACCAAGGCUUUGACGGGUAGCCGGCCUGAGAGGGUGACCGGCCACAUUGGGACUGAGAUACGGCCCAGACUCCUACGGGAGGCAGCAGUGGGGAAUAUUGCACAAUGGGCGGAAGCCUGAUGCAGCAACGCCGCGUGCGGGAUGACGGCCUUCGGGUUGUAAACCGCUUUCGCCUGUGACGAAGCGUGAGUGACGGUAAUGGGUAAAGAAGCACCGGCUAACUACGUG
This 468-nucleotide ribosomal RNA is filed under the name uncultured bacterium. RNAcentral's name for it is "partial 16S ribosomal RNA". It matches the Rfam family "Bacterial small subunit ribosomal RNA", at positions 28 to 507 of the family's 1533-position model. The record is from RNAcentral.